This 10113-nucleotide long non-coding RNA is filed under the name Gossypium barbadense (sea-island cotton). RNAcentral describes it as "long non-coding RNA (GBAR_LNC020741)". The record is from RNAcentral. Lineage: Eukaryota; Viridiplantae; Streptophyta; Magnoliopsida; Malvales; Malvaceae.
CAAGCCAAUACAAGACAUUCAAAUUUAUUCAAAAUCAAGUCUUAUGCAUGAUAUAACACCUCUUAUAACCAAGUAUAAAAACUUACCUAACUUAACAAAUUCACAUAAAAGCAUAUUUUACCAAAUAUGUUAACUUAAUUUAAUCAUUAAUAUACCAAUGUGAUUCUAUAAACUAACCAUUUCAAACACAUAUCAAACAUGAUAUAGCCUCUUAUAUUCACAUCAAAACUUGUACACCACAAGCCAUUCCAAUGGCUAAUUACAACCAAAACAUUUUUAUAUUAACAUUGGCUAAGUUAACUUAUACAUGCCAUUAUAACCAAAGUUGAUUUAUUAAAUAUACCGAGAUGAGCCGAUAGAUAGUGUGAUAAUAUCUCCGCCAAGCUUCCAACCCAACGAGCUUCCGAAUUACUAAAGAAUAGAGGAAAUAAAACAGAAGAAGCAUAUUAUACUUAGUAAGUUCGUAUAACGGGAAAUUAACUUACCAUCUAUUUAUAUUUAAAGUAAGCAUGCAAAAUUCAUCCAAAGGAAUUUGGCAAUUUGCCUAAACACAUAUAUCCUUAAGAAACAUGUUAGUCAUGUACUUCAUGUGAAUAUCAAAAAACAAGGAUGAGCUCAUCAUGUAACAAUUUUCAUAUACAUAUGUUUUUUACAUCAUAUAUUCAUAUAACAUGUACAUUUGCAAAAUAAUUUAUCUCAAGUUCAGAUUAUUCCAUGUCGAAAUUUUACCCGUUAAAUUUAUUUGAAAUGUCAAUAGAUACACAGGUAGUACACUUGAAGUGUACAAAACUGUAAUCCGUCAAUUCAUAUUCAGGAAUGCUCAUACGAGCACAUAAAUGGGAAGCUUUCCCUCGAGCCAUAUAACAAGAAGCUCAUUUGAGCUGUAUAACGGGAAACUUAUCUGGGCUGUAUAACGGGAAGAUCAUAAGAGCCAUAUUCAGGAAGCUUCGGAUAGCCAUAUAUCGAGAAGCUCAAGCGAGCCAUAUCGAGAAGCUCCGGAGAGCCAUUAAUCAGGAAGCUUAAAAAGAGUCUUUAAUCGGGAAGCUCCGAAAAGCCAUAUAACGGGAUGCUCAAAAGAGCUAUGAUGUGCCCACAACACAUACAGGAUCACGACCAAUCGGGAUGCUCCGAAGAGCUAUUAACAGGAAGCUUGCAAGAACCAUAUAACGAGAAGCUCGAGAGGGUCAUAUAUUAGGAUGCUAAUGAGAGCUAAUAACGGGACGCUCUUUCAAGCUGUGGUGUGUCUGCAAUAAAUAUAGGACCACAACCAAUUCGAAAACCCUAUAUCUAUCGAAUUUUAUUUAUUCAAAUGAGACUUAAUACUUGUCGGGCAUUAUCAGAUAUGUGAUCAAUUUCAUAUAUAUGGCAUUUAUACAAUUCACAUAUACAACAUUCAAUUCAAACAUUUAAAUGUACACAAUUUAGUUACACGAACUUACCUUGACAAGUGUUCGUGAAGUGUAAUCUACUAAUCCAAUAUUUUUUUCUUUUCUUCGAUCAAAUUCCGUAUUCGAUUUUUAUCAGUUUGUAUUGGUUUGCUUAUUACCCUGUUUAAUAGGGGUGGUUGGAUUGUUGGACCUACUGAUUCCCAGUUCAAUCGAUCAAUUUGGUUCCAACAACAUUGCAAUACAUUAUAUGUUGAGGUAGUUAUGAGAGUAAGUACAACUAUACUUGAUGUUCCUCAAGUUUCAUGACUUGCAUUAUUUGGAAUUGUUAAUCUUUUGAAAAUAAAAAAUUGAGCAAUGACUUUAUUGAUUUUGUAGACUUGUGUUGGCUAUUUUUCAAGAUUGAUAAUUUGAAGCAACAAAUUGUUACGUAGUUGAUCAAAUUGGAUCAAGUAAAUCGGAUCUCUCGAAUUAAAGAGAAUAGGUCAAUUGAUUUGAAGACUUAUGUUGGAUAUCUUCAUAUUGUCUUAGACUUUAUUAAUAUAUUCUAAAUGUUGAUUUAAUUGUGGGGAUUAUGAUUAUAUUUUGAUUUACAUGUUAGCAAGUCAAAAAAAUUUCUUAUAUAUGUUCAUUAGAAAUUGUUAUUGAGAAUGCCUUUGUGUAAAUAAAACGAUUGAGUAGUGAGAAAGAGAUCUAGAUGUUAGGAGUAAAGGUAAAGUUGUUACACUAAUGAGUGCUAGAACUUAAUUCAUUAUUUGGACAAGGUUAAAGAUAAGAAUUUGUCUCUUUAGAGUAAAUAUAGGUAAAAACCGAAAUACGUAGCUAAUUUUUUUUUAAUUGUUGUUCUUCACUACUUACGCCUAUUAGUUAUAAUUGCUGUUUACAACUGCUCAUAUUGUUAUUGCUAAAAUUCACUGUUUUCUACACAAUAUAUGUGUAUUGUAUACUAAAAUUACAUAUAAAUUACGUACAUAAAUAUAUAUUUUAUCUAUCUAUAAUCUAAUAAUGUAUAAAACACAAGUUUGAAGAAUCUUUUGAAUUUGUGAAAAUAUCCUUUAUAUUUUUUAUCAUAAACUAAAUUCAUAUUUAAAAAUAAUUAUAAUAUUUAAUUUAGAAUUAUUAGAUAAAAAAGUUGAAAUAAAAUAAAAUUUUUUAUAAUUAUACAUUUAAAAAUAAUUAUUAUUUAAUAGAAGUUAUAAUAACUACACAUUUAGAAUUUAAAUUACAAUUAUUAGCUAAUUUUAAAAUAUAGUUAUUAUUUAAAUACAACUAUAAACAUAAAAUAUAAGAAAAGAUUUAAUUUUAUUGAUGUAAAAUAAAAUUAUUAUUUUAAAAGAAUUCUAAGCAUAUGAAUUAUCACUUAAUUAAUAUUAAAUUUAAUUAGUUAUUAUUUUAAUGUUACUUUUUCUUAAUUACAUAAAAUAAAACUAUAUUGUAUGUUAAAUAUGUUAAAAAUGCUUUAAUUAUCAUUUGAAAAUCUUCUAUUAUAAUAUUUGAAUUGAUAAAUUAAUCUAUUCUUUAAUUUUAUUCAACAAUUCAAAUUAAAAAUAUUAUUUUACGUGCCGAUUGAGUUUUAGCUCGAUUGGCAUGAACAUUAUUACAAAUGCAGGAGAAUGUGGGUUCGAAUUGUGCUAAAGCAUGCUAUCCUUCUAUUUAUGGGUUGGAGAAAGGCUAUAGGUAGUUCUAGGUAUUGUGUUAAAAACAACAUAUAUAAUCAGAACUUAUAAUGAGAUUAUUCAAAAAAAUAUACGUUAUUUUAUGCUAAUUGUUGGAAUUAAAAGAAAAUUUAAAAAACUAAUUAAAUAUUAAACGUCUAAAACCAAAGUUAGUAUAUAUAAAAGCAUAAUUUUGAAAACAACAAUAUGCUUUAUUAUUAAUUAUAUUACAAAAUUGAUAUUUAAAUAAAAAUUUAUUAGUGUUAUUAGGUGAUAAUAAUAAAAGUAAUAUUAAUUAAUAUGAUAUUAUAUUAAUUAAAAAUUAAUUAAUUUCGUCAUAUUUUUAAAAGUUUUACUUUAAAAAAGCAUAAUAUAUUAUUAGUUAAUAAAAUUAUAAAUCAAUAAAAUCACUGAAUAUAAUUAGAUAAAUUAAAAAUAAUAAAAAUAAAAAAUUUUAAUUAAAUAAAUAUAAUUUUAUAUAUAAAUAUGAUUUCUUUAAAUAUGAUAAUAUUUAAUAAUGUUAAAACCAAUAAUUUAUAAUUAAUAAAAAUUAAAUGUGUUAGAUUAACAUUAUAUAUAAAAAGAUAAUAUUAAUAUAUUAGUAAUCAAAUUUAUAAUGUAUAAACUAAUUAAUUUAUAUUAAUAAUAGUUAUUACCACUUAAUUAGACUUUAAAUCCAUAUUAAAAUACACUUAUUAUUUUAGAUUAAUUCACAAUUAAUUAGUGUUACAAUUAUAGGCCAAUUAAAACUAAUAUUUAGCCCUAUAAAUACAUGUAUUAGCAAAACAUUUUCAUUCAAAAUAACAUAUACAGAGUUACACAAGAAAAACCAUAUUUUAACAUCAUUUAAUAGAUUUUGUUUCAAUCACCAAAAAAGGUAUAAUUUUCAUUAUUGCUUGAAAUGUUGAAUUAUUAUUUGAUAUUCGAUAGUUGAUUUCAAUAAUAUUUAACAUAAUUGUGAAUAUUGUUUAUCAUUGGGUUGUGAAAUGUUAUGUCAAAGACAAUAAAGUAUUAACGUAAUGGUUCUUUGUAGGUGAAAUUUUGACUCAUAUUCCAAUGACAUUAUUUUAUCUAAUUACUUAAUAUUGUACUAAAUCAUUACUUCUAAUGUUAUUUUAUUCUUUCAAUCAUUUUUCAAAAUUAAUAGACUUUUAUUAAAAAUUAGAACAAUUAUCAUUUAAUUAAAAUAAACAUUUUUAAAAAUGUUAUAAAAUAUAUUAUUUAAUAAAUUUAAAAUAAACAUGUAAAACCAUAUGUAACUCAUGUGACAUUAAAACUAAUAAUAUAUAAAAAGCACCUUUAGAGAAGUUUUUGAACUAAUGAAAAUACUUUUUAUAAUAAAAAAGUAAUAUUAAUUAAUAUGAUACCAUAUUAACGUGAAAUUAAUUUGAUAAUAUUUUUAGAAGUUUUACAUAAAAAUAACAUAAAAUAUUAUUAAUUAAUAAAAUUAUAAAUCUAUAAAAUAAUUGAAUAAAUUUAAAAAUAAUAAAAAUCCAAUUUUUUUAAUCAAAUAAAUAUCAAAAAAUCAUAUAUAUAAUUUUAUUUUAAAUAUGAUACUAAUUGAAGAAAUAAGAACAUCACGUAGUAAAUCAACAAAGCCCAAAGUUAUGUCCUUUUCUCCUUCAAGUUUACCUACUACUGUACCAGCGUGAAUAUGAUCUCCACCAGACAUACGUAAAGCUUUAGCUAGUACACGAAAGUGCAUUUUUUUAUUUUUCAUUAGUUUUAGAACAUUAUUUUAUUUUUAAUUAUUUUUCAAAUUUAGUUUUACUUCAUUUAAUCAUUAUUUAAAAUAACAAAUAAUAAGAAAGAAAGAAAGAGUGCUGAAUAACACGUUUUCUCUGUUGGCUGAAUUGCUGCAAAAUUGGAAGGAAAAUGGAUAAGCAUUAAAACGAUGGAUGAAGAACUAACAAAUUUGAAUAUAUCAGAUGGUGAAGACACUAUAGAAGGACAACAAAUCGCAGAAGAAGAGGAUGGGGAAUACGAAUUAUGUUUGGUUGGGAAGGUAUUAACAGAAAGUGUGGUACACUUUCAGUCCAUGAGACGAAAGCUAGCAGAAAUAUGGCAUCCAGUGGGCAGAAUUUCUAUUACAGACGUGGUUUUUCAAUAGGCACCUAGUUUUGCUUCAUCGAUUGGAGAAAGCGGAGCAUUCGUUGCAAGUUCCAUUAUUUUUCGCAGAAUUUUGGGUACAAAUACAUAAUUUAUCGGGAGGUUUUAUGUCUAAAGGAAUGGCACGUCAACUUGGUGAUUUUAUUGGAAAAUUCAUGGGAGUAUGAUGCAGUUUCAGUAACUAGGGGAAUUAAAAAAUUUAUGAAGGUGAGAGUUAAGUUGGAAGUUCAUAAACCCUUAAAAAGAAAGAAGGGGAUAACCAUUGGUCAAAACGAAACAACUUAUGCUAAGUUCCAAUUAGAAAAGCUUUCCUUAUUUUGGUAUCUAUGUGGCAAAUUGGGGUAUGGAGAAGGUUUCUAUCUAGUUAGAUUAACAUUCAUAAAAAGUUGCUUUUGGAUGGGAUCUAUCAAUAAGAGUGCCAACAAGAAUGAAACAAAUGGAAGAUUGCAAGUGGUUGAGAGAGGAUAGAUCGAGAUCCAAGUCGGUUGUAGGGGGACAAUUGGUUGAUAUGGGGAAAGAUCAGUUGGAGUUAAUCCAAACCCUAUUUCACAUCAAGGAAGGAGAGGAAAAGAUACCAUUCAGCAAGAAGGGUUGAAUUAUAGAGGAGAGGAAGCUAGGUAUAUGGUGCUUGGCUCAGACACGGAGGAAAUUCCUAUUGGAAUAACUGAUACUAAGAAAAGACAGAGGUUCUCAGCGAGUUCUAUUGUUUCCCAUACCCAUAUAGAGGAUUCAAAGGAUUUUAAAAAUCCUCAUUAUAUCGACAACUGCUGAAAAGUAGACCGACCAAUCACAGUAAAAAUACUAAGCUAAAAUGUUCGUAGAUUGGAGCACCUACGGGAACUAGAGCGUCUCAAAAACAAAGUGAAAGAUAUGCAGCCCCAGAUUUGGCUUCUCAUGGAAACCCUAGUAUGCACAAAAAAAGAUUGAGCGAAUUCGAAGAAAGUGUGGCUUGCAGAAUGGCAUUGAUGUGGAUGCCUUAAGUUCUAAAGGAAGACUAUCGUUGGUUUGGAAGUAAGUGUAUAACAUUCAAUUACGAAGUUUUUCAUCCUCACACAUUGAUGUUGAAAUUACAAAAGAAGAUAUAAAAGUUCAGAGAUUUACAGGGUUUUAUGGAUCACUGGAGGAUAGUUAAAUAACGCUAAAAAUCUACCCUAGCUAGUAGUUGGAGACUUUAAUGAAAUUCUUCUCUUUUGAAAAGUAGGAAGAGCGUCAACGAGAAGAGAACCAAAUGUUGACAGUCCGUCAAGCAUUAGACGAUUGUAAUCUCACAGAUAUAGGGUUUUCAGGUCAGUGGUUUACAUGGGAGACAGGCAGACUUCCGAAUAAUAACAUACGUGAAUGGAUUCAUAGAUGAAUGGCGAACCUAGAAUGGUGGGCAAUGUUUUCAAAUUUUCGGGUAAGGCAUCUUACGUAUUCUAAAUCCGAACACUGUCCAAUUCUUGUAAAUGCAUUAAAUAACAGUUCAAAGCAGAAGGGACAAUGACAACCAAAAUUCUGAUUAAAUGAAAAUUGGGUAAUUGAAGGUCUUGAAAGCAAAAUUCAAAAGUGGUAGGAAGAACUACUAAACUUGAAGCAAUAGGAAAUAAAUUGAACAAUUGGGCUAAAGGCGAAUCAGUUGGGAAGGCAAUGUCAAACGACUUUCUAGAAUAUGAGAUUAGAAGAGUUAAAUGCGAAUACUGCAAAUGAAGAAAAUUUAGUAGAAUUAACAUAGACUAAGAUUGCACUAAAUUUAAAAGUAGACAAUGAGCUAUUUUGGGAACAACGUGCACGAGCUAAUUGGUAACGUUUUGGAGAUAAGAACACGCUGUAUUUCCAUAGCAUUGCGUCAACUAAAAAGAAAAGAAAUACAAUUUGGGAGCUAAAGAACGAUAGUGGAGAAUGGGUUCGAGAUGAAAAGAUUAUGGCAAACAUCGACACUGACUAUUUCAAAGAAUUGUUUACGACUUCCUUUACAGGAGAUAGCACUCGAACUCUAAUGGGAAUUCAACCAACAAUAAUGAAGUUAAUAACAUGGAGCUAACAAUGGAGUUUAAGAAUAAGGAGGUUGAAAAGGCAAUUAAAAGCAUGCCGCCAAUUAAAGCUUCUAGAGAAGACGAUUUCCCAACUUUAUUUUUUAAAAAGUACUGGAGUAUCGCAAGUAAGGAGACUACGAAAUAUUGCAUUCAAGUACUUAACAGUAAGCAAGGAUUGGAAAAUAUCAACCAUACAAAUAUCGUGCUUAUCCCAAAAAAAUGAUUCACCAACAAGUAUGACUCAAUUCAGAACAAUAAGCCUUUGUAAUAUGUUACAUAAAAUACUUUCCAAGGUCAUUGUUAACGAGUUUAUAAAUAUUGGACAAGUAUAUUGAUGAAGCCCAAGGAGCGUUUGUGCCCGGAAGACAAAUAAAAGAUAAUAUUCUUGUUGCUUAUGAGAUUUUACAUUCGUUCAAGAGGAAACAUGGACAUCAAGGUUCUUUUACGUUAAAACUAGAUAUAAGCAAAGCCUACAAUAGGGUGGAGUGGUGCUUUCUACAAAAAGUAUUGACUAAAAUGGAUUUUUGUAAUGAAUGGAUUAAAUUAGUAAUGACGUGUGGCUACAGUGACAUAUUCGGUUAUCUUUAAUGGUGAACAAGGUGAAAUUUUCAAUCCUUCAAGAGGGCUAUGGCAGGGGGAUCCGUUGAGUCUGUAUUUAUUUCUAAUAUGUGUUGAAGGCUUCUCAAGUCUACUUAGGGAAUCUAAGCGAUAGGACUUGAUAAAAGGGGCAAGAGUUGGUAAGAGUGGUGUUGGGCUCACACAUUUGCUUUUCGAUGACGACAAUAUUCUUUUUUGGAGACGCUUCAAUGGAUGGAGCAAACAGAAUGAAAGCUAUAGUAAAAAAAUAUGAAAGUGUCUCGAGUCAAUUGGUCAAUUUCAACAAGCCCCUCAUCUAUUUCAGUGCUAAUGUGAUGGAUGAACAGAAGGAACAAAUAAGAGGAAUUCUGGGAGUUCGAAUAUCUAAUAACUCGAAAAAGUACCUUGGGUUGCCAACAAUGUUGGGCAAAAAAAAGAAAAAUGCAUUCACUAACCUAAAGGAAAGUUUCGUUAAGCGAAUAGAGGGCUGGAGCACGAGGCAAUUGCCAAUGGAAAGAAAAAAGAUUCAUAAAAUCAAUUUUAUAGUCAAUUUCUAUUUAUGCAAUGCAAUGUUUCUUAUUACCAGGUUCUUUAUGCCACGAGUUAAAUAGCAUGAUUGCUUAGCUUGCGAAGCAAGGGUGGAGAUUAUGUCAAAGCCAGAUUGUUUGUUCGCAAAAAUUAUGAAAACAAAAUACCAUUCAAACACAAAUUUUAUGAAUGCAAGUAUAGGCUCUUACCCAUCAUAUACCUGGCGUAGCAUAUGGGCAUCUAGAAGGCGAUUGGAACAGGGUUGUGGUUGGCAUGUGGAAAAUGGUGCAAGCAUUAAUAUAUGAAUGGCAAUUGGUUGUUAGAGCCUGGACAAGGAAGAAUUCAAGGACACGAAAUUAAGACAAGAUAUACAAGAUACAGAAGGGUCGUUGAUUUAAUUGAAGUAGAUUCGGCUUUAUGGAAAGAAGAAAUUAUUGAAAACCUUUUUGAUGAGGAAACUACACGAAGGAUACUAACCAUACCUUUAUCAAGCUGUGAUUUGGUCUGGAGGGGCGACAAUUUCGAAAUCUACUCGAUCAAGAGCGGGUAAAGAUGGCUCGAAGCAGCAAAUACAACCACCAAUGAUAAUCUGGAUGAGUUACAAAAAUCCCUCUUUACAAAAAUAUACAAAAAUAUAGAGCCUAAGUCUAGCAAGUAAAAUAAAAAUUACAUGCUGGAAAAUUAUUAAAAAUUACAUGCUCAUUUUAUCGAAUUUACAGCAAAGAAAUAUUGGAGUACAAAGCACAUCUUCCGUGAGUGUCGUUUUACCGAACAAGUCCUGCAAAGUAUGGGAGUAACAUAUUCAACCAAUAUUGAGAACCAGAAUUGGAUAAAUUGGUUAGCUACGGAGUUACCAACAGGAGUUAUUUUAGGCCCUAUGGUACAAUCGUAAAAUGGUCUAUCACAAUGGAACGGGACAAAACGUUUUUGUAGUAGUUUCUUUCAGAAACGCCUACAUAUCAGAAAUUGAUAGCAUGGGUAUUAUAUCGAAAGGCAUGCAAGAAAAACAGGAGACUGUUUGGCAACCAGCGGAAGGAGAUAGUGUCAAAGUAAAUUUUGAUGCAUGUUUUAACAAUUACAUAAACAGCUCUGUUUCAGGGAUUAUUGUUAGAAAUAGCGAAAGCAUUAUAAUGGCAGCAAGCACUUACCCAAAUUUGCAUGUGAGAGAUGCGACAAUUGCAUAAGCACGAACAUGUCUAUAACGAAGAACUAGGUUUUCGGAGAAUAGUGGUUGAAGGGGACUCAUUUAGCAUUAUCAAAAAAGUGGUGGAUGCAAUAGAAGAUGAAUCGGUUAGUGCUGCUUUGAUAAAAGAAAGUAAAGCAAGGAUUAAGAAUUUUGAUUAUAUAAAGUUUAGAUUCGUACCUCGUAUGGCGAAUCGAGCAGCACACGAAAUGGCACAAAAAGGAAAAUGGUUCGACUCUUCGAUGUUCUGGAUCAAGGAAGCACCAGAAAGAGUGGAAAGAAUACCAGCUCUGGACAGAGGGAGAAUGGGCAGAGAAGAAGUUUCGAGAAUAUCUAAGUAAAAUUGUGAAAAAUGGGAGUCUUGAUGAGAUUAAAACACAGAGAAUAAGGAGGGAAAGGCCAGAGCAAGAUUACAGGAAACAAUCUUACCAGAAAUGAGAUAGAUCCACUCCUGCUACAAACACUGAUGAAGAGACGAAAGGUAAAAAAGAAGGCGGCUGACCGUUUGGUUUACACACCGGAUUUCUUUGGUUUUGUUUGAUUCUUUUGUUUGGUUUUCUUUAGGGGAAACGGGCCUUAAUGGCAAUUUAUUUUGACAGCUUACAGCAGGUGGGAUGUAAUGUAACCCUUUUUUUUCUUCCAUUUAAUGCAUCAGUAGAUCUUCG